GAUGAACGCUGGCGGCGUGCCUAAUACAUGCAAGUCGAGCGAACAGACGAGGAGCUUGCUCCUCUGAUGUUAGCGGCGGACGGGUGAGUAACACGUGGAUAACCUACCUAUAAGACUGGGAUAACUUCGGGAAACCGGAGCUAAUACCGGAUAAUAUAUUGAACCGCAUGGUUCAAUAGUGAAAGACGGUCUUGCUGUCACUUAUAGAUGGAUCCGCGCCGCAUUAGCUAGUUGGUAAGGUAACGGCUUACCAAGGCAACGAUGCGUAGCCGACCUGAGAGGGUGAUCCGCCACACUGGAACUGAGACACCGUCCCGACUCCUACGGGAGGCAGCAGUUGGGAAUCUUCCGGCAUGGGCGAAAGCUUGACGGAGCAACGCCGCGUGAGUGAUGAAGGUCUUCGGAUCGUAAAACUCUGUUAUUAGGGAAGAACAAAUGUGUAAGUAACUAUGCACGUCUUGACGGUACCUAAUCAGAAAGCCACGGCUAACUACGUG
This 497-nucleotide ribosomal RNA is filed under the name uncultured bacterium. RNAcentral describes it as "partial 16S ribosomal RNA". It matches the Rfam family "Bacterial small subunit ribosomal RNA", at positions 28 to 507 of the family's 1533-position model. The record is from RNAcentral.